This is a long non-coding RNA of Lactuca sativa (garden lettuce), 911 nucleotides long. RefSeq lists it as uncharacterized. The record is from RefSeq and is a predicted model, not a curated record. NCBI's taxonomy places the organism in Eukaryota, Viridiplantae, Streptophyta, Magnoliopsida, Asterales, Asteraceae.
UUUUUUUCUCACGGGUCGUCCCUAAAUACAUAAAAUGAUUAUUUUGUCCAUAAUAAUAUUUUUUUUAAUUUUGCUAUUACUUAUUUAUCAAUUUUUAGAUUUAAAAAAAGAAAAAAAUUAGUAUGCCACCCCUCCCUUUUCCCCCUUUCCCCAGUUGCCUACUUUGUCUCCUUCAUAUACACUCAUUGCGAACAACCACCGAAAAGCACUCAUCCUUCUUUCUUCGACGAGACCAACCUUCAUUUUUCUAUUUUUUCUGAUCGCUAUCCACCUAGACCUUGCCGACGAGUUGCAGAUCUAACAAAGCACCACCAUCGCAUAUCGCAUAUCUGCUCAGUCACCUUCUCCUUUCUUCUACAACCCUAUCAAUGACCACACAUCUCUUCCCGAUCGAAAUCGAUGUAAAACCCAACAAGUGGCGGUGACAGCUCCAUCUUCAGCAACCCACACAACCUCGAACCCUAGCUGGCAUGUAAAUCUAGAUUUUCAGGGAUAGUUAACCCACAUUUGGUUUAACCAAUCUCUGACACUUGUUUUAACCCAAAUUUAUAGCUCGGUUUUCAAAUAUGGUUAUGGAGAACAAAGGAAACACCAUAGCUCUCCAUCAUCAAUGUUUAUCCGUUUGGGAAUAAGAACAAGUGAAAUAUAUGGUUCGUUGGUGGCUUAAGGACCGUUGGGAAGAAAAACGAAGAAAUAAAGGUUGUUGACUGUGUUUCUAAGAGAAAAAUGUGGUGGUCGACGGUGGUGGGCUGUAAUCCAACGGUGGUGUUUGUCUGUCAAGAAUUUAGGGGAAAUAGAGUUUAGAAGGGAAGGGGUAGGGAUAAGGUGGGUGAGGUUUUUUUAUUUUCUUUUGUAUAUAAUAAAUAACUUUAAGAAAAAAAAUCAAAAUCAAAAUCAAAAUGGUAGAAUAA